Peromyscus maniculatus bairdii (prairie deer mouse) is the source of this 2094-nucleotide non-coding RNA. Lineage: Eukaryota; Metazoa; Chordata; Mammalia; Rodentia; Cricetidae. The record is from RefSeq and is a predicted model, not a curated record.
AGUGUUCUCAUCUCCUGGUUUCCAGCGCUUGGCAUCUGCUCCCCUCUGCAUUCCCGAGAGACCCGGCUGACCCCCAUCAAGUGGGAAAGCUGAGCAGGGCCAGGAGCUGGCGCCUGAGCUGAGCCAGCCGUCCUGUUCGCUCCCACCGCCCUGGGGCCUACCCUGGGGUGGGGGGCCCUGCAGCUCCUGUCUGCAAAGCCAGCAGAGUUAACUCGGUCACCCCUGCCCUGGCCUCUUUGAGCUCUCCAAAUGUCACUUAGCAACAAUUAGCUAAUCAACCACCCGGAACUCGUGCUGCAGCCGCUGCCUGCGAACUCUCAAAGGCUCCCGAGAGCCUCUCACCCCCCAGACCUGCCAUGGCAGCCUCACUCAAAGGGCUCCGGUUUCAGCCGCCCCUCUGCCGGUUCUGCCUCCAGCAUGUGUUUCCAUUUACCGUGGGAGGAAGGGAAAGGACCCUGGCUGGGGGGAACUUCGCUCUUCAUGCUUGGUCACCCUCACCCGUGGGGCACCCCAGCCUGGGCCCCCGGAGCCCACUCUGGAAAUGCGUUGUUCCUCGAGGAAGGGUACCCACUCUCACCUUCCAUAGGGAGACGGUGUUUUCUGGGUUAGGUACCCCAGAAGGAAGGGGUUGCUGUUUCACAGUUAUUCAUGUUUUGUUCUGAAGUACAACAUUCCCGCGGCAGUAGGUCCCAACACAUCCUCCGGGAAACAUGGAGCAAAACCUAAAGAUACUUCUGAUGGUCACGGCAGGCCUGGCUUCUGCUCACUGUGUGUCCAAGACUCUAAGCACACCCCUCUGUGUCCAGAAGAGCCUCACUGAACACCCCAACCAGCCAGCCCCCGGGGUUGGGCACUAAGUGACCAGACCCGCGGAUCGUGAGUGUGUACCAAUGAAGUCUCACAAAUAGACACACUGUGUUGGUCUCUUUAGGCCACUGUUUGGAGAACUACAAACGGAAUGGCUUCAAACAACACAAAUCCUUUAUUUUGCCCCCAACACCAUCCCCUUUUGGGAGGUCACAGUUCCCAGGAGCCGAGUGUCUGCGAGAGAGAGCUCCCCCUGGAGGUCGCAGGGGGAAAAUCUUUGUUUUUGCCUUUUCCAGCCUCCAUGUUGCUUCCCGCCUUGGCUCAGGGUCCGACCCUUCAUCUUCAAAGCCAGAACCAGGCUGCGCCUGUGUAAAUCACCACCUGGCUCUUGCUGACAAUCUCAUAAGAAACCUGCGACUUCGUCACACCUGCCAAGUCCUUGUCAUGGAAGUCACAACUUCAAGGUCAACAGUACAAGGACCCUUGUCCACUGGCAGGAACAAAACACUGGAGACCAUCACAAAGGAACACCCUGUGAUCUCAUGAAGAGCUUUAGUCACCUUUGAAGAUAACAGCUUCCAACUCACCAAACCCCUGUCCAAGAGUGUUGUAAAGAUGCUGCAAGGGACUCUCAGAGGGACCCGCAUCUGCUCCUAGUUUCUAGGCACAGAAGAGUUCACCUAAUCCAGGCACCAGCUUUCCAUCAAGGCCCUGCUUUCUAUAUGUCAACACAGAUGUGACCCGCAGUGGAGUCCAGGAACUCAGUCCAACUCUGCAACUAGAACUUCCAACAUGUCAAUAAGCCCUGCUCCAAUUCCAGGAAAAAUAACCAGCGUGGGUCUCAACAUCACAUGGACGAUUUACAUCCCUGAACUGGAAUUUCGAUUCGAUCUUGGAGGCCGCUUUCAGAGGCCAAGACACACUAUAGGAGGAGGGAGGGGCCGCUGAGGCCAAAAAGAAACUGGGAUUAAAGUAACGCAAAGCAGAUGCAGGAGCUCAGUGGCUGCCAACCCAAGCCAGGUGUGACUUUUGGGGGCCAGGUGACUUGGGGAGAGUAUGCUCUGUCCUCGGGGUACCCUGAGAACUUGGGGGUAGUGGAUAGAUGGUGAAUUUGAGGUUUGCGGUUGCUCGUCUCCAGCUUCUCCUGCCUCCGAAAUUGAGUGUAGAAUAUGGACAUGUCAGCAGGACGUGUCCCUUCUGCACCUGAAUGAGGGAUUAUUUUCAAGAUCCUGGGUAGCCAAGUGGGUGUCCUUUGAAAACAGACUUGUGGAAUUUCCCAGACUUCUU